GACAUAUUCCGGUUGAUCCUGCCGGAGGUCAUUGCUAUCGGAGUCCGAUUUAGCCAUGCUAGUUGCACGAGUUUAGACUCGUAGCAUAUAGCUCAGUAACACGUGGCCAAACUACCCUACAGACCGCGAUAACCUCGGGAAACUGAGGCCAAUAGCGGAUAUAACUCUCAGGCUGGAGUGCCGAGAGUUAGAAACGUUCCGGCGCUGUAGGAUGUGGCUGCGGCCGAUUAGGUAGAUGGUGGGGUAACGGCCCACCAUGCCGAUAAUCGGUACAGGUUGUGAGAGCAAGAGCCUGGAGACGGUAUCUGAGACAAGAUACCGGGCCCUACGGGGCGCAGCAGGCGCGAAACCUUUACACUGCACGACAGUGCGAUAAGGGGACUCCAGGUGUGAGGGCAUAUAGCCCUCGCUUUUCUGAACCGUAAGGUGGUUCAGGAACAAGGACUGGGCAAGACCGGUGCCAGCCGCCGCGGUAAUACCGGCAGUCCAAGUGAUGGCCGAUAUUAUUGGGCCUAAAGCGUCCGUAGCUACUUUCC
Molecule: ribosomal RNA, 536 nt
Filed under: uncultured archaeon
Lineage: Archaea
Description: bacterial SSU rRNA
Rfam family: Archaeal small subunit ribosomal RNA
Source: RNAcentral